This 857-nucleotide ribosomal RNA is filed under the name Salmonella enterica. Its description in RNAcentral is "partial 23S ribosomal RNA". The record is from RNAcentral. Lineage: Bacteria; Pseudomonadati; Pseudomonadota; Gammaproteobacteria; Enterobacterales; Enterobacteriaceae.
GGUUAAGCGACUAAGCGUACACGGUGGAUGCCCUGGCAGUCAGAGGCGAUGAAGGRCGUGCUAAUCUGCGAUAAGCGCCGGUAAGGUGAUAUGAACCGUUAUAACCGGCGAUUUCCGAAUGGGGAAACCCAGUGUGACUCGUCACACUAUCAUUAACUGAAUCCAUAGGUUAAUGAGGCGAACCGGGGGAACUGAAACAUCUAAGUACCCCGAGGAAAAGAAAUCAACCGAGAUUCCCCCAGUAGCGGCGAGCGAACGGGGAGGAGCCCAGAGCCUGAAUCAGCAUGUGUGUUAGUGGAAGCGUCUGGAAAGGCGCGCGAUACAGGGUGACAGCCCCGUACACAAAAGCGCACAUGCUGUGAGCUCGAUGAGUAGGGCGGGACACGUGGUAUCCUGUCUGAAUAUGGGGGGACCAUCCUCCAAGGCUAAAUACUCCUGACUGACCGAUAGUGAACCAGUACCGUGAGGGAAAGGCGAAAAGAACCCCGGCGAGGGGAGUGAAAAAGAACCUGAAACCGUGUACGUACAAGCAGUGGGAGCCCCACCACUAAGCCAGUGGUGAAAUCCACAUACGCAUCCUUUGCUGAGGAUACGGUUAACGGAGCGCAAGCGACGUUCAACCKCAAAAGAAGCAGAGGGGGCUUAGUGGUGGGGUGACUGCGUACCUUUUGUAUAAUGGGUCAGCGACUUAUAUUCUGUAGCAAGGUUAACCGAAUAGGGGAGCCGGAGGGAAACCGAGUCUUAACCGGGCGUUAAGUUGCAGGGUAUAGACCCGAAACCCGGUGAUCUAGCCAUGGGCAGGUUGAAGGUUGGGUAACACUAACUGGAGGACCGAACCGACUAAUGUUGAAAAAUUA